This 253-nucleotide ribosomal RNA is filed under the name uncultured bacterium. RNAcentral's name for it is "partial 16S ribosomal RNA". It matches the Rfam family "Bacterial small subunit ribosomal RNA", at positions 524 to 776 of the family's 1533-position model. The record is from RNAcentral.
UACGUAGGGUGCGAGCGUUACUCGGAAUUACUGGGCGUAAAGCGUGCGCAGGCGGUUUUGUAAGCCAGAUGUGAAAUCCCCGGGCUUAACCUGGGAAUGGCAUUUGGGACUGCAAGGCUGGAGUGCGGCAGAGGAGACUGGAAUUCCUGGUGUAGCAGUGAAAUGCGUAGAUAUCAGGAGGAACACCGAUGGCGAAGGCAGGUCUCUGGGCUGACACUGACGCUCAUGCAUGAAAGCGUGGGGAGCAAACAGG